GAUGAACGCUGGCGGCGUGCCUAAUACAUGCAAGUCGAGCGAACAGACGAGGAGCUUGCUCCUCUGACGUUAGCGGCGGACGGGUGAGUAACACGUGGAUAACCUACCUAUAAGACUUGGAUAACUUCGGGAAACCGGAGCUAAUACCGGAUAAUAUAUUGAACCGCAUGGUUCAAUAGUGAAAGACGGUUUUGCUGUCACUUAUAGAUGGAUCCGCGCCGCAUUAGCUAGUUGGUAAGGUAACGGCUUACCAAGGCAACGAUGCGUAGCCGACCUGAGAGGGUGAUCGGCCACACUGGAACUGAGACACGGUCCAGACUCCUACGGGAGGCAGCAGUAGGGAAUCUUACGCAAUGGGCGAAAGCCUGACGGAGCAACGCCGCGUGAGUGAUGAAGGUCUUCGGAUCGUAAAACUCUGUUAUUAGGGAAGAACAAAUGUGUAAGUAACUAUGCACGUCUUGACGGUACCUAAUCAGAAAGCCACGGCUAACUACGUG
This 497-nucleotide ribosomal RNA is filed under the name uncultured bacterium. RNAcentral describes it as "partial 16S ribosomal RNA". It matches the Rfam family "Bacterial small subunit ribosomal RNA", at positions 28 to 507 of the family's 1533-position model. The record is from RNAcentral.